AUUUUAUGGAGAGUUUGAUCCUGGCUCAGGAUGAACGCUGGCGGCGUGCCUAAUACAUGCAAGUCGAGCGAACGGACGAGAAGCUUGCUUCUCUGAUGUUAGCGGCGGACGGGUGAGUAACACGUGGAUAACCUACCUAUAAGACUGGGAUAACUUCGGGAAACCGGAGCUAAUACCGGAUAAUAUUUUGAACCGCAUGGUUCAAAAGUGAAAGACGGUCUUGCUGUCACUUAUAGAUGGAUCCGCGCUGCAUUAGCUAGUUGGUAAGGUAACGGCUUACCAAGGCAACGAUGCAUAGCCGACCUGAGAGGGUGAUCGGCCACACUGGAACUGAGACACGGUCCAGACUCCUACGGGAGGCAGCAGUAGGGAAUCUUCCGCAAUGGGCGAAAGCCUGACGGAGCAACGCCGCGUGAGUGAUGAAGGUCUUCGGAUCGUAAAACUCUGUUAUUAGGGAAGAACAUAUGUGUAAGUAACUGUGCACAUCUUGACGGUACCUAAUCAGAAAGCCACGGCUAACUACGUGCCAGCAGCCGCGGUAAUACGUAGG
RNAcentral lists this ribosomal RNA (550 nucleotides) under Staphylococcus aureus. RNAcentral's name for it is "bacterial SSU rRNA". It matches the Rfam family "Bacterial small subunit ribosomal RNA", at positions 1 to 531 of the family's 1533-position model. Lineage: Bacteria; Bacillati; Bacillota; Bacilli; Caryophanales; Staphylococcaceae. The record is from RNAcentral.